GAUGAACGCUGGCGGCGUGCCUAAUACAUGCAAGUCGAGCGAACGGACGAGAAGCUUGCUUCUCUGAUGUUAGCGGCGGACGGGUGAGUAACACGUGGAUAACCUACCUAUAAGACUGGGAUAACUUCGGGAAACCGGAGCUAAUACCGGAUAAUAUUUUGAACGGCAUGGUUCAAAAGUGAAAGACGGUCUUGCUGUCACUGAUAGAUGGAUCAGCGCUGCAUUAGCUAGUUGGUAAGGUAACGGCUUACCAAGGCAACGAUGCAUAGCUGACCUGAGAGGGUGAUCGGCCACACUGGAACUGAGACACGGCCCAGACUCCUACGGGAGGCAGCAGUAGGGAAUCUUCCGCAAUGGGCGAAAGCCUGACGGAGCAACGCCGCGUGAGUGAUGAAGGUCUUCGGAUCGUAAAACGCUGUUAUUAGGGAAGAACAUAUGUGGAAGUAACUGUGCACAUCUUGACGGUACCUAAUCAGAAAGCCACGGCUAACUACGUG
Molecule: ribosomal RNA, 497 nt
Filed under: uncultured bacterium
Lineage: Bacteria
Description: partial 16S ribosomal RNA
Rfam family: Bacterial small subunit ribosomal RNA
Source: RNAcentral